CAGCCUCCUGAGUAGCUGGGAUUACAGGCAUGCCCCACCAUGCCUGGCUAAUUUUGUAUUUUUAGUAGAGACAGGGUUUCUCCAUGCUGGUCAGGCUGGCCUCGAACGCCCGGCCUCAGGUGAUCUGCCUGCCUCGGCCUCCCAAAGUGCUGGGAUUAUAGUGUGAGCCACCAUGCCCGGCCUGUAGCAAACAUUUAAAACUGAUCUCUGUGUAUUUAGUCUUGCUCUACUUCAGGACAUUCUCAAUACUGCAGCAAAAGUUAUUCUAAAAUGCAAAUCUCAUUUUGGCAGGGAUGCUGCUAAAUAUCCUACAGUGCACAGAACGGCCACCAACGACCAAGAAUUAUCCAGUCCAAAAUGUCAGUAAAGCUGAGGUUAAGAAAUCCUGUUCCAGAAUAUCACAUUUUUUGGAUGCUGUGGUACCUGGAGUGAUGCCAGACUGCAGAGGCCACCUGGUGACAUGAGGAGAGAUUCAACUUAACAUGGUGAGGAUGGCAGAGUAGAGCUAAAGUGGAAAA
RNAcentral lists this long non-coding RNA (518 nucleotides) under Homo sapiens (human). Its description in RNAcentral is "RSG2 antisense RNA 1". The record is from RNAcentral. Lineage: Eukaryota; Metazoa; Chordata; Mammalia; Primates; Hominidae.